RNAcentral lists this non-coding RNA (21 nucleotides) under Caenorhabditis elegans. Lineage: Eukaryota; Metazoa; Nematoda; Chromadorea; Rhabditida; Rhabditidae. The record is from RNAcentral.
UAAGUACCUAAAGGACAAAGC